This 200-nucleotide ribosomal RNA is filed under the name uncultured eukaryote. RNAcentral describes it as "partial 18S ribosomal RNA". It matches the Rfam family "Eukaryotic small subunit ribosomal RNA", at positions 588 to 789 of the family's 1831-position model. The record is from RNAcentral.
GCUCCAAUAGCGUAUAUUAAAGUUGUUGCAGUUAAAAAGCUCGUAGUUGGAUUUGUGGUGUGUCCUGUCGGCCGCUUGGCUUAGCCUUGCGUGCUGUACGGGUCCGCCAUGUUUGGGUGGAAUCUGUGUGGCAUUAGGUUGUCGCGCAGGGGAUGCCAUCUUUUACUGUGAAAAAAUUAGAGUGUUCAAAGCAGGCUUAU